This is a long non-coding RNA of Cebus imitator (Panamanian white-faced capuchin), 902 nucleotides long. RefSeq lists it as uncharacterized. The transcript has 3 exons. The record is from RefSeq and is a predicted model, not a curated record. NCBI's taxonomy places the organism in Eukaryota, Metazoa, Chordata, Mammalia, Primates, Cebidae.
ACUAUGCAGACGGGGCUCCCCACCCACCCUCCUGUCCCAACCACUAUAGAUCCCAGCCAGUGCGCCCCGCGACCCUCCCAGGAGAAGCUGCCCCGGGACCACUGCGUCCCGGUAUCAAGAGGACAGAAAGUCUCUCUGUGCCUCCUUUUGGAAGGGUUUCUGCCCUCGGGGUUGUUACGGGACAGAAACGGUUUUAUCUGAAACUAGCCCUUCUCGCACACUCAUGGUUUGCAGAACUCCGAACCUCGCCGCCUAGAUCUCCACCUGCGCAAAACCAAAGGGCGGAUUCUCCUCCCUGGGGUGAGAACGGGAGACUCAUUCCUCCUGCACUGGGAGAAAGCGACUCUUCAGGAGGAGGACAGGGAAGCUAAUGCUACCCUGGAUUCUAGAACAGUCCUAGAGAAGCAGUGAGCCAGCCUCAGGCGAGAACGCCCAGGCGCAGGUGGAUGGCCGCAGGUCAGGCCUACUUUUCCUACACCUGUUGCUGGGGCGCAUUUCCACAGCCACUCUCAGCCCACGGUGCCUGUCACCGCCAGGCAGCCCUGCCAGGCAUGAGGACACCAAACCCACCUAUAUCUCAACUAAAAUCCAUCCAGCAUCAAGAUUUCCACAUCUGAGCUUACACCUUUAACCUACAGGCCACAGCAAAGAGGGCUUUGGAGAAAGGGAAGCACAGAGGUAGCAUGGACAAGCCUCAAUUAACCACUCCUGUCGCAGCACACCCACCUCCCCAGACACGGUGCACAGUGGUCCCUCAGGAAGCCUUUCUUGAGUCCUGCAUUUAACCACAGAGGCCCAGAGGCCCAGAGGCCCAGACAUGGUGGUGACUGCCUGCUCAGCCUGUCCCCACCAUUUUUUUUUUUCCCGAGACAGAGUCUCACUCUGUUGCCCAGGCUGGAGUA